Molecule: ribosomal RNA, 460 nt
Filed under: uncultured bacterium
Lineage: Bacteria
Description: partial 16S ribosomal RNA
Rfam family: Bacterial small subunit ribosomal RNA
Source: RNAcentral
CCUACGGGUGGCAGCAGUGAGGAAUCUUUGUCAAUGGACGGAAGUCUGAACCAGCCAUGCCGCGUGCAGGAAGACGGCUUUAUGAGUUGAAAACUGUUUUUGUACAAGGGUAUACCUUAAUAAGUGUUUUCCGCUGAAAGUACUGUUCGAAUAAGGAUCGGCUAACACCGUGCCAGCAGCGGCGGUAAUCCGGAGGAUCCGAGCGUUAUCCGGUUAGAUUGGGUUUAAAGGGUGAGUAGUGGAAUUAUUAGUAUAGAGGUGAAAUGUCCGUUCUUAACUCGGAAACUGUCUCUAAUACUGUUGAGCUAGAGAGUAGAUGCGGUAGGCGGAAUGUAUGGUGUAGCAGUGAAAUGCUUAGAGAUCAGACAGAACACCGAUUGCGAAGGCAGCUUACCAAGCUAUAUCUGACGUUGAGGCACGAAAGCGUAGGGAGCAAACAGGAUUAGAUACCCUAGUAGUC